This 997-nucleotide ribosomal RNA is filed under the name Staphylococcus aureus. RNAcentral describes it as "partial 23S ribosomal RNA". It matches the Rfam family "Bacterial large subunit ribosomal RNA", at positions 1199 to 2196 of the family's 2925-position model. Lineage: Bacteria; Bacillati; Bacillota; Bacilli; Caryophanales; Staphylococcaceae. The record is from RNAcentral.
GCUGUGGAUUGUCCUUUGGACAAUGGUAGGAGAGCGUUCUAAGGGCGUUGAAGCAUGAUCGUAAGGACAUGUGGAGCGCUUAGAAGUGAGAAUGCCGGUGUGAGUAGCGAAAGACGGGUGAGAAUCCCGUCCACCGAUUGACUAAGGUUUCCAGAGGAAGGCUCGUCCGCUCUGGGUUAGUCGGGUCCUAAGCUGAGGCCGACAGGCGUAGGCGAUGGAUAACAGGUUGAUAUUCCUGUACCACCUAUAAUCGUUUUAAUCGAUGGGGGGACGCAGUAGGAUAGGCGAAGCGUGCGAUUGGAUUGCACGUCUAAGCAGUAAGGCUGAGUAUUAGGCAAAUCCGGUACUCGUUAAGGCUGAGCUGUGAUGGGGAGAAGACAUUGUGUCUUCGAGUCGUUGAUUUCACACUGCCGAGAAAAGCCUCUAGAUAGAAAAUAGGUGCCCGUACCGCAAACCGACACAGGUAGUCAAGAUGAGAAUUCUAAGGUGAGCGAGCGAACUCUCGUUAAGGAACUCGGCAAAAUGACCCCGUAACUUCGGGAGAAGGGGUGCUCUUUAGGGUUAACGCCCAGAAGAGCCGCAGUGAAUAGGCCCAAGCGACUGUUUAUCAAAAACACAGGUCUCUGCUAAACCGUAAGGUGAUGUAUAGGGGCUGACGCCUGCCCGGUGCUGGAAGGUUAAGAGGAGUGGUUAGCUUCUGCGAAGCUACGAAUCGAAGCCCCAGUAAACGGCGGCCGUAACUAUAACGGUCCUAAGGUAGCGAAAUUCCUUGUCGGGUAAGUUCCGACCCGCACGAAAGGCGUAACGAUUUGGGCACUGUCUCAACGAGAGACUCGGUGAAAUCAUAGUACCUGUGAAGAUGCAGGUUACCCGCGACAGGACGGAAAGACCCCGUGGAGCUUUACUGUAGCCUGAUAUUGAAAUUCGGCACAGCUUGUACAGGAUAGGUAGGAGCCUUUGAAACGUGAGCGCUAGCUUACGUGGAGGCGCUGGUGGG